This 253-nucleotide ribosomal RNA is filed under the name uncultured bacterium. RNAcentral describes it as "partial 16S ribosomal RNA". It matches the Rfam family "Bacterial small subunit ribosomal RNA", at positions 524 to 776 of the family's 1533-position model. The record is from RNAcentral.
UACGUAGGGUGCGAGCGUUGUCCGGAAUUAUUGGGCGUAAAGGGCGCGUAGGCGGCCUGGCAAGUGGAAGGUGAAAUCCCUCGGCUUAACCGAGGAACUGCCCUCCAAACUGCUUGGCUUGAGUCCGGGAGAGGUGAGUGGAAUUCCCAGUGUAGCGGUGAAAUGCGUAGAUAUUGGGAGGAACACCAGUGGCGAAGGCGGCUCACUGGACCGGAACUGACGCUGAGGCGCGAAAGCGUGGGGAGCAAACGGG